This 975-nucleotide long non-coding RNA is filed under the name Triticum aestivum (bread wheat). RNAcentral describes it as "long non-coding RNA (TAES_LNC024367)". The record is from RNAcentral. Lineage: Eukaryota; Viridiplantae; Streptophyta; Magnoliopsida; Poales; Poaceae.
CCGGACCCCGAGGCGGCGGACGUCGUCUUCGUGGUCCACAAGGUCUACCGGAAGCCGGUGCUCCCCCCGCCUGUCGACAGCAGCUCCAGCGACAGCGAGGAGGAGGGCUCCGAGCGCUCCAUCGUGUUGAAGAGGAGGCGGUAGAAUUAUGCAACUGCAUGUUGAUUUCUUCAGAUUUGUUGUGUCUCUAUUUCGUUUCAUUUCAGUUGUGGAUUUUGCGCUCGAUCUAGUUCAGGUAGAUUGACUGGUCCGUUUCGUUCGAAGUACAAUGUAAUCAGCCUCCCUCGCAGCAUCUGCCAGAACAGUUCGGAGGUAUUAUCACCGUUUCAUUUUAUGAUUUAUGUUUUAUGUGGACGUGAGUCUUGGUCUGAUGUCUUCCCAUCUGAAUAAUUUUAGAUUUUAUGAUCUAUCUUUAUAGUCCGCUUUGUUUCGAAUAAUUGGAACUGGAGUAGUAUUUAGGAGUAAUGGUUACUACUCCAGUUUCAGUUUCAAAAUGGUUGGAGAGAGAGAUACCAGUUUGAAUACCACUCCAGUUUCAGUUUUAGUAUUUAGGAGUAAUGGUUUCCAGUUUCAGUCACAGCAAACAAGCUAAAGAUGUCUUCACAUCUGAAUAAUUGGAAGCUAAGCUUUGGAUGACUUUGCUGGAGAUAAGCACCAUAUUAGUAUAAGAUGUAAUGUUCAUGCAUCUGUGACUUACCUAACAGAUUUUAAACCAACAAAUAAUAGUACUAUAUCCAGUCGUCCGGUUACGCAGGACUGUUGCUGAAGCGACUUCUAAUGAAGCUUGGAUCAAAGAUAUCAAUAGUGAGAGCAACAUUCACACUUUCUUGCAGGUGGUUACCUUCUGGAAAUUAUUUCUUAAACCCCGACGAUCCAUGGCGCUGAAGAUAAGUGGACCUGGAGUUGGGUUUCACAAGGAGUUUUUUCGGCAAUGUUAGUAUAUGGUGCUUGUUUCACUGCGGCAAUCAAUUGGAG